Molecule: ribosomal RNA, 465 nt
Filed under: Vreelandella stevensii
Lineage: Bacteria; Pseudomonadati; Pseudomonadota; Gammaproteobacteria; Oceanospirillales; Halomonadaceae
Description: partial 16S ribosomal RNA
Rfam family: Bacterial small subunit ribosomal RNA
Source: RNAcentral
CCUACGGGGGGCAGCAGUGGGGAAUAUUGGACAAUGGGGGCAACCCUGAUCCAGCCAUGCCGCGUGUGUGAAGAAGGCCCUCGGGUUGUAAAGCACUUUCAGUGAGGAAGAACGCCUGGUGGUUAAUACCCAUCAGGAAAGACAUCACUCACAGAAGAAGCACCGGCUAACUCCGUGCCAGCAGCCGCGGUAAUACGGAGGGUGCGAGCGUUAAUCGGAAUUACUGGGCGUAAAGCGCGCGUAGGUGGCUUGAUAAGCCGGUUGUGAAAGCCCCGGGCUCAACCUGGGAACGGCAGCCGGAACUGUCAAGCUAGAGUGCAGGAGAGGAUGGUAGAAUUCCCGGUGUAGCGGUGAAAUGCGUAGAGAUCGGGAGGAAUACCAGUGGCGAAGGCGGCCUUCUGGACUGACACUGACACUGAGGUGCGAAAGCGUGGGUAGCAAACAGGAUUAGAUACCCGAGUAGUC